UCCUUGGUCAUUUAGAGGAAGUAAAAGUCGUAACAAGGUUUCCGUAGGUGAACCUGCGGAAGGAUCAUUACAGAAAGUAAACGCGGGUCAAACCGUGAACUUUUAAACCUUUGACGAUUGACUCAUGUUGCCUCGGCGGGCUCGCCCGCCAGAGGAUACAUCAAAACUCCUGUUUUAACGGCGUUGUCUGAGCUACAAGCAACGAAUCAAAACUUUCAACAACGGAUCUCUUGGUUCUGGCAUCGAUGAAGAACGCAGCGAAAUGCGAUAAGUAGUGUGAAUUGCAGAAUUCAGUGAAUCAUCGAAUCUUUGAACGCACAUUGCGCCCCUUGGUAUCCCGAGGGGCAUGCCUGUUCGAGCGUCAUUACACCACUCAAGCCUGGCUUGGUGUUGGGCGACGUCCCCUUUGGGGACGCGCCUUGAAAUGCUCGGCGGCGUGGCACCGGCUUUAAGCGUAGCAGAAUCUUUCGCUUCGAAAGUCGGGGCCCCGCCUGCCGGAAGACCUACUCGCAAGGUUGACCUCGGAUCAGGCAGGGAUACCCGCUGAACUUAAGCAUAUC
This 560-nucleotide unclassified non-coding RNA is filed under the name Cenococcum geophilum. Its description in RNAcentral is "partial contains ITS1, 5.8S rRNA and ITS2". The stretch from base 211 to 364 matches the Rfam family "5.8S ribosomal RNA". The record is from RNAcentral. Lineage: Eukaryota; Fungi; Ascomycota; Dothideomycetes; Gloniales; Gloniaceae.